CCUACGGGAGGCAGCAGUGGGGAAUAUUGGGCAAUGGACGAAACUCUGACCCAGCAACGCCGCGUGAAUGAUGAAGGUCUUCGGAUUGUAAAGUUCUUUUCUAAGGGAAGAAGAAAGUGACGGUACCUUAGGAAUAAGCCUCGGCUAACUACGUGCCAGCAGCCGCGGUAAUACGUAGGAGGCGAGCGUUAUCCGGAAUGACUGGGCGUAAAGGGUGCGUAGGUGGUUUGGCAAGUUAGUAGCGUAACUCCAAGGCUCAACCUUGGAACGACUACUAAAACUGUUGGACUUGAGUGCAGGAGAGGCAACCGGAAUGCCUGGUGUAGCGGUGGAAUGCGUAGAUAUUAGGAGGAACACCAGUGGCGAAGGCGGGUUGCUGGACUGUAACUGACGCUGAGGCACGAAAGCGUGGGGAGCAAACAGGAUUAGAUACCCGAGUAGUC
Molecule: ribosomal RNA, 443 nt
Filed under: uncultured bacterium
Lineage: Bacteria
Description: partial 16S ribosomal RNA
Rfam family: Bacterial small subunit ribosomal RNA
Source: RNAcentral